AGGUUUGAAGCAAGUGUUCUUUAAAUGGGUGAUAAUGCAAAAGAAGAAAAGGGAUCUAAGGUGCAGAUUUUCAAAAUUUCCUCCACCAUUCUCAUGGGGUUUUGCAAAAAGAAAGGGAUUCGGAGAAGAUUACAGCACAAGAACAAAAGAAAUUCCAGUUUCGAAUUCCUGUUGCUGCUAUCUAGAAUUUCCAUCAAAUAAUAAGCUUGGUGAAGUUGGCUACGGUCCUGUUUCAAAUCAAACCAUUUUGCAUGAUGGACCUCUGGAUUCUUGGUUGAGAUGGUGGUGUCGUUUGAAGGUCAAUAACCAAUAUCAUGAAUAAGGUUGCUAAAAUCUUAAAAGAUCGGCCAUAAUAGUUUCGUGCUUGCCAAGCUGUGGAUGUCCUUAAUGCUGAUAUCUACUGGAAACGGUGGAACCAUUGAACUUCUUUAUAUGCAGCUCUAUGCCCCUACUACUCUGGCACCAACUCGUGACUUUUGGCUAUUACACUAUAUGCUUGUGAUGGAAGAUGGUAGUCUCAUGAUCUGUGAAAGAUUGCUGAACAACACUCAUAAUGGUCCCAGUAUACCACCUGUUCAGCAUUUUGUAAGAGCUAAAAUACUGCCAAACGAAUACUUGACCAGACCUUGUGAAGGAGGUGGCUCCAUAAUCCAUAUAGUUGACCACAUAGAUUUAGAGCCAUGGAGUGUGCCUGAAGUGACCCGUCCACUAUAUGAGUCAUCAACAUUGCUUGCUCAGAAGACAACAAUGGCGGUAUGAUAUUUAGAUUCUAUGCAGUUCUUUCCUUUGUGCCAGCCAUGCCAUUGUAUUGGUUUUAGAUUUUAAUCUCAAUUUUUGGAAUGUAUUUGUGAAUGUACUAAAGUAUCCAAAAAGAGAUGAAUAUACCAUUUUGUUCUGGCUUUAUACCAAUUAAGACAGAUCUCACAUGAAGUUUCUCAGCCUACUAUCACAAUAUGAGGAAGAAGACCUGCAGCAUCACGAGCACUUAGCCAAUGAUUGAGCAAGGAUUUCACUGAGGCUGUAAAUGGUUCCACAGAUGAGGGAUGGUCUAUGCUUGACAGUGAUGGCAUUGAUGAUGUUACUGUUCUUGUGAACUCUUCUCCCGACAAAUUGAUGGGACUAAAGUUUCAUAUGUUAGCAAUGUAGUGCUAUGUGCCAAGGCCUCCGUGCUUUUACAGGUCAAGAGAUUAAAUGCACAGUAAGAAACAUUAUGAGGCUCCACUCGGAUCUUUAGAUUUUCUCUGAAAAGCAAAAGGAAUUGAUAAAUGGAUGAAAGUCAAGUUGUGGUACAUAUUGCCUCAAACUACAACUGUACAUACCACAGUAAAUUUAAAAAAUACUUUUUUUUUGUUUUGUAAAAUACGAUGAUAAGUUCAAGAGUUGAAAUUUAAGAUAAUCCCAAGAAAUUUGAUGGCUAGACCAAGUAACCAUUACCUUUGUGUUUAAUACUGUAGGUCACUAUCUUUGAAAACUGAAAUGAAUGUUAAAAUAUAAUUUUCUUUCUCACUGAAUUUUCAGGUUACGUACAUACAUAAUUUUCUGGCGGCAUGCUGCAUUUCCUGCUCUUUUAGUAUGAUUUAUAAAUCAUGCAACUACUAAAGAUUCCAUGUUUUGGCCUUGCAAGCUUGUUGUAUUGAAUAUAUCAUUCUGGAGAGUGAUAACUUAUCAUCUCUGUUUCCUAAUGCACAUUUAAGCUUGGGAGGGCUUGAAUUAAUUCAAAGCACCUAUUUGCUUUGCUCACUACCCUCACUAUUCUUCCUACUGUUUGGAUGCAAGAUCUCACUCUACUUAGAUACAUCUCAGGUGAGUGAUUUAUUGACUAAGGAACUUUUCAAAGGAAAGAAUUACAGAUUUAAGGGAGUGAGAAAAGCUUCUGUCCAAAAUCUCAGGUGUCUUUCAACUUUUCUCUGCUCUUUUUUGGUUGAUCCUUGUCUUUUUUUUGGGCUUGUUUUUCAUUACUGUCCAUGUUGAUGGUUUGUUUGUAGCCAUUUUCAACCAUUUUUUCCAAAGGGUUUUUGGUGAUUGACUGUAGUAAUUUUAUGACUUCUGUAGUUGUCUGGUGUUGAAUUUUUUUGGUUGAUUACCAGGUAAUUGCAUGUGAGUGCACUGAUUUUAGUUAGUUAUUUCCUUGUGAAUGCACUGAUUUGAUGGGAAAAUAGUUACUUUUAGCGUGUCAAGGGGUUAGAUUUUUUCCCCCUUUUGUUUUUCUUUGUGCAUAUACUUGGUGAAUUACUGAAGCAUCUCACUAUCUAUAUUUUCUUUCUUUUCAUUAUUUUUUCUUUUUGUGGUGCCUCUUGUGGAUUUUGUUCCUCGCGUACCAUUUUGUGUGCUUCAGAUAGUAUCAUGUUUAUUGAGAACUUUUUCCCUUUAAUUCUUAUAUUCAAUAGGUGAAAGCAAUGAUCCUGGAGGUAGAAGUAGAUGAUGGAGAUGGAAGAUUAUGUGAUAGUGAUUUGGAUGGAGGCUUCAAUAUUAUUUUUAUUAAAACCCUUGAGCAGCAAAUUGUACCAAUGCUUAAAUUAGGACUGAUUAACAUAUACUAUUACCAUAUACUAAUCAAUGGUGAACUUUAAUAUGCACAUUUAUGAUACACAAAGAUGACUAAAAGUUUUCAUUUACUAUGGUUAUACGAGUUUACUAUUGCUAUCCACAGAUUUCUGAUACAACUCAAGAUUAGCCAUAUUUCUUACUCUAAAAUUCUUGGAAAUUUUUCUGACAGUAUCUUGUUUCCAUGCCUUUUACACAUAGUGGUCAAGCCCAUAAGAAAACAUGGAGUGAUACAAGUUUACUAUAGUUCUGUACAACCCCCCUUCCCCGGUUUUAAAAAAUUCUGGUUUUCUUGUACUCUAUUACCUCAAAACUUCUUAAUCACAAAUCUGGUCUUAUUAGUUGUUUCAGCUUAAUGUUGGCUUGUGAAUUUUUUUCCAUUGGCCUAAAUCUUUUCCCUCUGUUUGAUGCAGGAAUUGUGCCCAACCGCUGAAUGUUAUUUUUCUGUUAGAAGCUUUGUGUUUCUCUUUUACAGUUAUUUUGGAUUUUGUUCUGUUUUUUCCCUUUAUGUGUACAUAGAAGUUUUGCUCCAAAGAAAACAUGUGGUGACAUGUUCACUGCUAUUGUCCAUGACUUUCCUUUUUUUUUUUUCCCAAAAAUCUGGUUUUCUUUCACUAUGUUACCUCAAAACCUUUUAUGUUGGUUACUUUUUUUUGGUGUAGUAUUUUUUCCCCUGAACUUGAAUAACA
Non-coding RNA from Coffea arabica (coffee), 3233 nucleotides. NCBI's taxonomy places the organism in Eukaryota, Viridiplantae, Streptophyta, Magnoliopsida, Gentianales, Rubiaceae. The record is from RefSeq and is a predicted model, not a curated record.